CAGCACCCUUGCAAACAUCUGUGAAAACCACGGAAGGAGAGCGGGUGAUGCCAGGCAGGACCCAGGGCAGGGACACCCCGGAGCGGGGCCCCGCCGUGCCCGUCCCGCUCCCCAGGGCGCAGCCGCUCCCCGGCAGUUGCACUUUUGCUUUGCACUGCGAGGGAGGGACCCGCCGUGGGGACCUCUUCAGCCCCGCGGGGACACACCGGGACAGCCUCCGGGCCAGCAAAGGCUGUGGAGGAGAAGAAGGGAAAACACAAGAGAGGUGCCAGGCACAGCCCAGCCCAGCUCCCCAGGAGGGUAAGUGAGCCAGGGACACCAGGGUGCUGCUGCUGUGCCCCUGCCACCCCUGUCACAGGUUUUCUGUGUUCUUAAACACACCCCCCCCCACCCUGAACACGAGGGGACUGAGCACCCCCAGUUCACCUGGGCCAGCAGCAAGGGCAGGGCUUGGUGGAGGAUCCAUCCAGGCUGAUCCAUCACCUGGCUCUGGGUAGGAGCAGGAGGAGUUGGCAGAUCCCAGCUCUGAGAGGGCUCCAGGCAUGAGGCAGCAGCAGGGAGAGCACCCACAAACCCAGCCCAGCCAGUAGCUGUUCCCAAAGCCUCUCCCCACCCAGCUGGGGUUAGGAGCUGCUGUGGGUUAAACGCCCAGGAUUUGCUAACGAGGAUUGGACACUCCUAAGCAGGCUCAGGUGAGGAACCUGAGCACUGCUGAGGGUUGAUGAGCUCUGCUGAGGCUCAGCUGUGGGCAGAGCCCAGCUGGGAGCAGGGUAAGGGGCUGCUCCCACAACUCCUGCAGGGGUUCUCACGGAGCAGAUGGAUAUCCAGCUGUCCUCCAGCACAUGGAAAAUGCUUUACCCAGGAUGUACCCAGCUCUAACAAGCUGAUUUUAGGCUGCCUGCAACUCUUACCUGCUGCUCUGACUCAUUAGGCACAAAUCUUCACCCAGUGACCCAGUGUGGCUGAUUUGGGGGUGUACUCAUUGAAAAAUCAGGGGGAAAAGCUGUUCAGGGGGAGAACGAGGCUGUGCCUGUGGAGAGUCUCUCACCCACCCCCUCGCAGUGAGGGGGAAGCAAGCACAGAGCAUGCAACCCCAAAUUUCCUCUUUCUGGAGAUUUUUUUAGCAUCCU
Molecule: long non-coding RNA, 1130 nt
Filed under: Serinus canaria (Common canary)
Lineage: Eukaryota; Metazoa; Chordata; Aves; Passeriformes; Fringillidae
Description: lncRNA (ENSSCAG00000002267.1)
Source: RNAcentral